AUUGAACGCUGGCGGCAUGCCUUACACAUGCAAGUCGAACGGCAGCACGGGUGCUUGCACCUGGUGGCGAGUGGCGAACGGGUGAGUAAUACAUCGGAACAUGUCCUGUAGUGGGGGAUAGCCCGGCGAAAGCCGGAUUAAUACCGCAUACGAUCUACGGAUGAAAGCGGGGGACCUUCGGGCCUCGCGCUAUAGGGUUGGCCGAUGGCUGAUUAGCUAGUUGGUGGGGUAAAGGCCUACCAAGGCGACGAUCAGUAGCUGGUCUGAGAGGACGACCAGCCACACUGGGACUGAGACACGGCCCAGACUCCUACGGGAGGCAGCAGUGGGGAAUUUUGGACAAUGGGCGAAAGCCUGAUCCAGCAAUGCCGCGUGUGUGAAGAAGGCCUUCGGGUUGUAAAGCACUUUUGUCCGGGAAGAAAUCCUUGGCCCUAAUACGGUCGGGGGAUGACGGUACCGGAAGAAUAAGCACCGGCUAACUACGUG
Molecule: ribosomal RNA, 486 nt
Filed under: uncultured bacterium
Lineage: Bacteria
Description: partial 16S ribosomal RNA
Rfam family: Bacterial small subunit ribosomal RNA
Source: RNAcentral